Molecule: long non-coding RNA, 669 nt
Organism: Vigna radiata var. radiata (mung bean)
Lineage: Eukaryota; Viridiplantae; Streptophyta; Magnoliopsida; Fabales; Fabaceae
Exons: 3
Source: RefSeq, a predicted model, not a curated record
CGACUUUUCGUCACUCUCACUCACAACUGCCUCUCCUCGGUCUCACUCGUAACUACCUCCCCCACUCUCGCUCUACAACUACAACGUAGUUUCACUUUUCCUUUUCCUUCCAGUGCCCUAACCUGCCAUGGGUGUUGAAUCAGAGAUCAAAGGAUUAUAUUGCUUAUGGGAAAGGUGUGUGAGCCAUGUCCAAUGAUUAAAAAAAGCAGAUGUAGAUUUGUGCUAGAUUUUUUUAUGCCUCCUUCUUGCCCUUCAAAUAUCAAAUUGUCAAUGUCAUGUUUUGGACAAAAUUCAUCUAGCAACACAUUAAAUAUCAAAAGCAGCUCGAAAUUCAAAGUAAAAGGAUCUCCGAAACAAAGGACAAACAAUAGUUUAAGCUCUAACUCUUAUUCUCACAAGUCGUAAAUGAAGAGAAAACCAAAGAAGAAAAAGAAGCAGGUUAUUACCUAUGCCUAGUCUUGGGUUUUACUAACCUCAGUCAUUUAUAGCACAUUAUCCUCUUGUUACUGAUUUUAUUAACCAAUACCAAUCAAUAAUAUUUAGAUUAACCCUAUUGGCUAAUGUCUAUUUAUUUAGCUUUCCAAAGGGUUCUUCAGUCAAGAACUUGGUUGAAAACAUUAUGGCCUCUAUCAAGUUUCAAUAUUUUGUUUCAUCAAAUCAAUUUGAUGA